AAAUUGAAGAGUUUGAUCAUGGCUCAGAUUGAACGCUGGCGGCAGGCCUAACACAUGCAAGUCGAACGGUAACAGGAAACAGCUUGCUGUUUCGCUGACGAGUGGCGGACGGGUGAGUAAUGUCUGGGAAACUGCCUGAUGGAGGGGAUAACUACUGGAAACGGUAGCUAAUACCGCAUAACGUCGCAAGACCAAAGAGGGGGACCACUGCCUGAUGGAGGGGGAUAACUACUGGAAACGGUAGCUAAUACCGCAUAACGUCGCAAGACCAAAGAGGGGGACCCUCGGGCCUCUUGCCAUCGGAUGUGCCCAGAUGGGAUUAGCUUGUUGGUGGGGUAACGGCUCACCAAGGCGACGAUCCCUAGCUGGUCUGAGAGGAUGACCAGCCACACUGGAACUGAGACACGGUCCAGACUCCUACGGGAGGCAGCAGUGGGGAAUAUUGCACAAUGGGCGCAAGCCUGAUGCAGCCAUGCCGCGUGUAUGAAGAAGGCCUUCGGGUUGUAAAGUACUUUCAGCGGGGAGGAAGGGAGUAAAGUUAAUACCUUUGCUCAUUGACGUUACCCGCAGAAGAAGCACCGGCUAACUCCGUGCCAGCAGCCGCGGUAAUACGGAGGGUGCAAGCGUUAAUCGGAAUUACUGGGCGUAAAGCGCACGCAGGCGGUUUGUUAAGUCAGAUGUGAAAUCCCCGGGCUCAACCUGGGAACUGCAUCUGAUACUGGCAAGCUUGAGUCUCGUAGAGGGGGGUAGAAUUCCAGGUGUAGCGGUGAAAUGCGUAGAGAUCUGGAGGAAUACCGGUGGCGAAGGCGGCCCCCUGGACGAAGACUGACGCUCAGGUGCGAAAGCGUGGGGAGCAAACAGGAUUAGAUACCCUGGUAGUCCACGCCGUAAACGAUGUCGACUUGGAGGUUGUGCCCUUGAGGCGUGGCUUCCGGAGCUAACGCGUUAAGUCGACCGCCUGGGGAGUACGGCCGCAAGGUUAAAACUCAAAUGAAUUGACGGGGGCCCGCACAAGCGGUGGAGCAUGUGGUUUAAUUCGAUGCAACGCGAAGAACCUUACCUGGUCUUGACAUCCACGGAAGUUUUCAGAGAUGAGAAUGUGCCUUCGGGAACCGUGAGACAGGUGCUGCAUGGCUGUCGUCAGCUCGUGUUGUGAAAUGUUGGGUUAAGUCCCGCAACGAGCGCAACCCUUAUCCUUUGUUGCCAGCGGUCCGGCCGGGAACUCAAAGGAGACUGCCAGUGAUAAACUGGAGGAAGGUGGGGAUGACGUCAAGUCAUCAUGGCCCUUACGACCAGGGCUACACACGUGCUACAAUGGCGCAUACAAAGAGAAGCGACCUCGCGAGAGCAAGCGGACCUCAUAAAGUGCGUCGUAGUCCGGAUUGGAGUCUGCAACUCGACUCCAUGAAGUCGGAAUCGCUAGUAAUCGUGGAUCAGAAUGCCACGGUGAAUACGUUCCCGGGCCUUGUACACACCGCCCGUCACACCAUGGGAGUGGGUUGCAAAAGAAGUAGGUAGCUUAACCUUCGGGAGGGCGCUUACCACUUUGUGAUUCAUGACUGGGGUGAAGUCGUAACAAGGUAACCGUAGGGGAACCUGCGGUUGGAUCACCUCCUUA
This 1618-nucleotide ribosomal RNA is filed under the name Escherichia coli. Its description in RNAcentral is "bacterial SSU rRNA". It matches the Rfam family "Bacterial small subunit ribosomal RNA". The record is from RNAcentral. Lineage: Bacteria; Pseudomonadati; Pseudomonadota; Gammaproteobacteria; Enterobacterales; Enterobacteriaceae.